AACGUACGCUGGCGGCACGCCUAACACAUGCAAGUCGAACGCAGUAGCAAUACUGAGUGGCAAACGGGUGAGUAUAAUGUGGGAAUCUGCCUUUUGGUUUGGAAUAACACGGGGAAACUUGUGCUAAUACCGAAUAAGCCCUUACGGGGAAAGUUUUAAUGCCGAAAGAUGAGCCCGCACUUGAUUAGCUAGUUGGUAAGGUAAAGGCUUACCAAGGCUACGAUCAAUAGCUGUUCUUAGAGGAAGACCAGCCACAUUGGGACCGAGACACGGCCCAGACUCCUACGGGAGGCAGCAGUGGGGAAUCUUGCACAAUGGGGGAAACCCUGAUGCAGCGAUGCCGCGUGAGUGAAGAAGGCCUUUGGGUUGUAAAGCACUUUCACUGGUGAAGAUUAUGACAGUAGCAGGUAAAGAAACCCCGGCUAACUCCG
Molecule: ribosomal RNA, 431 nt
Filed under: uncultured Pelagibacteraceae bacterium
Lineage: Bacteria; Pseudomonadati; Pseudomonadota; Alphaproteobacteria; Candidatus Pelagibacterales; Candidatus Pelagibacteraceae
Description: bacterial SSU rRNA
Rfam family: Bacterial small subunit ribosomal RNA
Source: RNAcentral